GACGUCUUAGAGCAGGAGGAACUUAUUUCACUCAUAUGAGUUACAAAUCAGCACACAAACAGGACAGAACCAGGAGAAAUAAACAUGCUGUACUUGCUGGGAAUCGUUGUUGGCCUUCUCUUCAUCAUAAUGUGCUUUUCAAAAGGACUCAAAGAGGGAAUUCAACCCCCAAAACUACAACCACCUGAAUCAUCUACCAACAAUAAAAAAAACAAUCUGAGUGAGGAAGAUGUGCAGUUACUGGCCAGGAUCCUCUCAGUUGGAUUGGUGGAUGCGGACCCAAACUAUCUUCACCAUCUUAAAGGCUACAGGGACUUGCGUGGUGCCUGAUUUUUUAUUUUAAAAAAAGAAAUACAGCAACUACAGAAAUGAAUGGACAGCAUAGCGCUGUCCCUGGAUAUAUCCAUGGAUGUGUGAUGACAUCAAAUCAUCGGCAUCAUGUUUUGGAUUACCAAGUUCAAUGACUUCCGCAAGUCUUCCAGAUGUUCCACGAUUGAUGGAAAAUUAUGCUGUUUAUUCAUGUCAAAUAUGACAUGAAAUGGAAAUAACUUCUCCUUCGCCAUGGUGCUUUAUAUGGAUGUGAUCAUUUUGAUGCUGGAUCCUGACUGCUUCGUUUAUUGAUUGCGUGAUUUGUGGAGAGAAGCCUCUGAUAUCAACAUUCGACAUUUGCCUUUUUUACAUCAAGAAAUGUAGAAACUGAAAAAGUAGAAACAGGAGGACUGGUGUUGUUGCUGUCAGUGGUACAUGCUUUGCUUGGCUUCUUUUAAUGUUCAUGUCGCAUGUUUCCGGUGUCAAUGUUAAAGGUUCAGUGUGUCAGAUUUAGUGGCAUCUUCAGUAACAAAACUGAAACUUCUCCCAUGUGCUAAACAUUUAGAACUAAUGUGACGGACGCGAUAAAUGAGAUUAGCCCUAUCUGGAGCUAAUGUUUGAUUUGUCCAUUUUGGGCUAAAGUAGAAACAGCAUGGUGGACUCCAUGGAAGAGGACCUGCUCAGUAUAUAGAUAUACAGAUACAGCUCGUUCAAAAGUAACAAAAACACAACAAUUCUUAUUUUGAGUGACUAUAAACUAAUGAAAACAUAUUUAAAAGUAUUUUUUUGCCAUUUCUGCCAAUAUAUGCCCCUAAAUCCUACAAACUGGACCUUUAAAUACUCCUUUGUUGAGCUAAAACUAAGCUAACAUUUACAUCGGAGGUAUAUAAUUACACAGUGUAACAGUUGUAGACAGAUUUAGCACAGAGAGAAGUUAACCUUUUUAAAGUGAAACUGUAACUUUUAUUUAACAAAUGCAACUAUGGCUAAAAGUAAUGGUCUAAUGCUAGCUAGAGUUUUAGCUACAUGUUAAACUGUAGUUUCCUGUUUGCUAAACAGUAGUUAAGUAUUUAGCUGAAAUGCUGACAGUAGCACAGCCAUAUAGUCACUUUAGUGACUGGGUGAUGUGUGUUAUACAGAAAUAUUUACCUAAUGUUUGCUAACUUUAGCAAACAUUUGCCACCAUAAACUUCUGUGCACACCAGACCAACAAAAGGCUGUAGCAGCAAAACCCCUGAGUGCUUUUUGUUUGUUUGUUUCAGCAAUAGAGCCUUGUAUUGCUUAGAAAUCCAACAUUUAAUUUAAAGAGGAAGGAUGUGUUACAUUCUCAUUCAAAAGUUACAAAGUCUUGCUUUAAAGUAUUAAAGUGUGGCCAUUUUAAUGUUGCAGAGAGGCUGAAUUA
This is a long non-coding RNA of Plectropomus leopardus (leopard coralgrouper), 1711 nucleotides long. RefSeq lists it as uncharacterized. NCBI's taxonomy places the organism in Eukaryota, Metazoa, Chordata, Actinopteri, Perciformes, Serranidae. The record is from RefSeq and is a predicted model, not a curated record.